Pseudophryne corroboree (corroboree frog) is the source of this 1105-nucleotide long non-coding RNA. RefSeq lists it as uncharacterized. The record is from RefSeq and is a predicted model, not a curated record. NCBI's taxonomy places the organism in Eukaryota, Metazoa, Chordata, Amphibia, Anura, Myobatrachidae. The transcript is spliced from 4 exons.
AUGACAGGAGCUGAUUGGCUGGCACUUUAUCGCCGUGCUAUUUAUCACUCUCCAAGGCUUGAUAAAUCUGGGCCUAAGUUUCAAAUUUUGGAUGCUCUGUAAUCUAUGCAGCACCAGUUGACCCAAACCUGUUUCCUAACAUGACAUCACCACCGUACACCUCGACAAGUUGGCGAUGAAUUUUAGCUGCUGAUGUGUCCUCUAACCGCAGCAAUCUGAUCACACUACACACCUCAAUGUUUGACCACGAUUCAACCAGCCCCACCAUGCUACAAGUGAUGUUAGGACAGUACGACUGAUAUGAGAUGAAGUCUAAUGGCCGUGAAGCGCUUCCACAGCUGCUGAGUGAUCACUUCCGGUAACCGGGAUGAGGCUGCGACAGGAAGUGGACGGGCCAAAUGCUUGCUUGGAUUAUAAACAGGGUGUGAAAAAAAAUCAUGAUUUUUUUUUAAAAGGACAAAAAAAUUAUUUUUAUUUAAAUCUGGAUUUUUUUUAUUUAAAUUGAAUUUUUAUAACAAUGAUCAAGUAAACAAAUAACCCAAGUAAAAACAAUAAUUCAAACUUAUUUUAAAAUACUGUAACUUUUAUAUAUUUAAUUUAAAUGACUUGACAGCGUCUCUAUGAAUCAUGGUGAUGGCACAGCAAACUACACACAAAUCACACAAACUGCAAAAGGAAAGAAACAGCAAUGAUGUUAAAAGCUACAGUUUCAAUGUGCAUUUUUCCAGCAAACUAUUGGAACCACUGUUAACUCAACCUCCUGGUCAAACAAUAGGUCAUUAAACGGAGUUGCUUUUGCUUGGAACCUGACUAGUGUUCGUUGAAGGGUAUUUGAAUGUGGAUAUUAUAAUAUUUUGAUUGAACCCCAAAGUGCAACUGUUGUUCAAUGAAGCUUGAACCACCAGAUACUGUAAUAUACUCAGCAAAAAAAAGGACCUGGGAAAAUACCCUCUCACCAGAGAAGACACCCAAAACAUGGUCAUCAACUUCGUCAACUUCCAAAUGAAAGCUUCAUCGGUAUGUCUAGUGGAACACUGCCCAGCAAGCUGUACCGAGUCUGCUAAUUAUCAUAUAGGAAUAUCCUGAAUGCUUAGCCAUAGGUAUG